UAGCGGAGGAAAAGAAACCAACAGGGAUUGCCUCAGUAACGGCGAGUGAAGCGGCAAAAGCUCAAAUUUGAAAUCCCCCCGGGGAGUUGUAAUUUGAAGAUUGCGUCUUGGAGGCGACCGUGUCUAUGUUCCUUGGAACAGGACGUCACAGAGGGUGAGAAUCCCGUGCGGCACGGCCCCCGGCUCCUUAUAAGGCGCUCUCGACGAGUCGAGUUGUUUGGGAAUGCAGCUCAAAGUGGGUGGUAAAUUCCAUCUAAAGCUAAAUACAGGCGAGAGACCGAUAGCGAACAAGUACAGUGAUGGAAAGAUGAAAAGCACUUUGAAAAGAGAGUGAAACAGCACGUGAAAUUGUUGAAAGGGAAGGGCAUGCCGUCAGAUUGUCAGUGUGGGUAAGAAGCGGGGUACAAAGACUGUGGAACGUGGCCCUCGGGUGUUAUAGCCGCAGUUCAUGCCCCGUCUCUUUCCGAGGCCUGCUUUGAGGACACCGACGUAAUGACGGUACGCCGCCCGUCUUGAACCACGGGCCAAACAAG
RNAcentral lists this ribosomal RNA (533 nucleotides) under Kodamaea ohmeri. RNAcentral describes it as "partial large subunit ribosomal RNA". It matches the Rfam family "Eukaryotic large subunit ribosomal RNA", at positions 48 to 674 of the family's 3401-position model. Lineage: Eukaryota; Fungi; Ascomycota; Pichiomycetes; Serinales; Debaryomycetaceae. The record is from RNAcentral.